This is an RNA transcript of Salvia miltiorrhiza (redroot sage), 2252 nucleotides long. RefSeq lists it as uncharacterized. NCBI's taxonomy places the organism in Eukaryota, Viridiplantae, Streptophyta, Magnoliopsida, Lamiales, Lamiaceae. The record is from RefSeq and is a predicted model, not a curated record. The transcript is spliced from 6 exons.
AUAUAUUCUAUAUAAUAGGAAUUAUUUUCAACCCUUAAAUUAUGAAGAUUUAAGAUGGAUUUAUGACUUUGUUGAAUGAAUUCGUGGUUCAGGGUUCAAAUUCCAUUGAUAGUGAAAAUUUCAUUUUCUUAAAUUCAUUACUUUUCAAAAUAAAUUUAUUUCCUUUAGUUGUUUCAUCUUAUUUUGUUUGCACACACAACAUUUGCACACAUUGGUUUAUCACAAAAACUUAUGUCCGGUGGCUGGAAAGAUACGGCCAGGUCAUGGGUUGACCCAACAUGCUUUUUUGACUCGAUACAUAUAUAUCUUUUCAAUCCUUUCAACUUGUUUCUAUUCAUUCAACCCUUCGUCUGUGCCGAAAAUUUGUCUUCAACCCUUCCUUUGUGCUGUGCUCAAAACCCUCAUCGUCUUCAGCUUCAUAUACGCCUCAAUCUUGUGCUUCAUCUCCGGCCAUUCCUCUGUGCUUUUUGUGUAUGUCUUAUUUAACCCCUUCGUCCUGCGUCGACGUUCACAACAAAACCCUUUUCUCAUGUGUCGAGUUUACGCCGUUCAUCGUCUCCGGCUGCGCCUCUGCCUUUUGUUCCUUGUGGUCCGAUCUCAUACACAUUCCGAUACUUCCUGCUACAGAGCAGAGUGAUGAAGAUGCUUCAUGUCCUUCUCCAAUUAGCGGGAAAGAACUUAUGGUUUCUAUGAGAAAGAAUAAUCCUAGUCCGCAAAAGGGGAAAAGAAAAGCAGAGGGUAAUACUAGUGAGCACAAAAGGAAAAAGAAAAGCAAAAUGGCACAAGAAACUCAUUCAUCAUCAGCCCCUAUCAUUAAAUGUAGACCUGCUAGUUUGUGUCAGGUCAUUGAUAAUUUGAAUGAAGUACAGCGAGAAGCUGUUAAGUCUAUAGGGUUUGGGGGUUUGUUAGCUAUGCAUGAUUUGAAAUAUAUACCAUGGGGUAAAAUGAAUUGGUUUUAUACAAAUUUCAAUCCAACUAGUAGGGUUUUAAGCUUUUCAAACAGUAAAACAAUUGUUUUGACUGUUGAUGAUGUUCAGGAUGUGUUCUUGUUACCUAGGAAUGAUGGUAACAAUGUUUUACUUUUUGAUAAGGAUGAUAAGCGUGCAAUUGAAUGUCUUGAUGAGUUUAAAAAUAGAUGUGGUCUAACCUCUUUUUGUCAUUCAAAGGCAUUUGAACUUCUUAGAGGGAGUUCAUUUGCUGAUGGCGGGGAUGAUUUUAAGAGGUUAUUUGUGUUGUAUAGUUUGUCAAUUUUUUUGACCCCUACUUUGAAUCAAGUAAUUGACCUAUCGACAUUUAGGUCAUUAGUUGAUGUUGAUAGGAUUUCUACCUUGGAUUGGUCUAAAUAUGUCCUUGAAAAGUUGUGUACUGCUUUAAAGUCUUAUCCAAUGAGGUAUGUUGGUGGGUGUCUUCUUAUCAUCCCACUUCUGUAUUUGCAUCGACUUAUGUGGUUGGGGGUAGCGGAGCCAUCCACAUUGCCUUUAAUCCAACAUUGGACUUCAAAGAAAUUGAAAGAUAGGUUAGAGGCUUAGUGUUCAGCAGGUAGUGUUUUUGGGGUUGGAAACUGGGUAGAUAGUGCAUUGUAUCCCGUGAGUGCAAAACCCAAAUCCCAAGAGACGAAAGCUAGUGAUGCUGCUCGUGAUUAUGUUGUUCAUGAAGAAGAUGGGCAGUUUAUCAUGUACAAGCUGCCUGUUAAUGAGAAGUCUGAUUUGGAAAUUAGAAAAAUGGCAAAAGAUCGCCUGCAUGAAUCCUUUUUGUUGUUACAAAGGGAUUUGAGUGUUAUCACUCACAUGCAUUUGGAAAGAUUGCGCAAGUUGAGGAAAAAUGAUGAGGAUAUUGAUAUAUUCAAUGCUUCAGAAUUUCAUAGAUACAUUGAUCAGCUUGUUGAACAAUUUCAGAAUAUGAAAAGAUCUUCAAAGCAGUCAGUUUGCAAGAAGGUUAAAGGAGAAGAAUCAGGAGAAGGAGAAAGAUGGAGUUGAAUUUGUAGGUUGACUCUUGUCUGUUCAUUUCAAUUAUUUACUAAACAUAUGAUCAUUUGUUAGUUUUAAUUCUUCAUUAUUUUGUAGGAGAAUGUCAUAUGAUGAAUCUUAAUGAUGAAGUAGAUGAGUUAGUUGCUAGAGAAAUGUCAUAUGAGCUCAAGAAAAGAACAAAAAGAAUAAGUAUUCAUAGAUGAGGAUAUUGACUUUGGCAGUUGCUAAAUGUGAAUUUUAUGAUAUUGCCUUGAUUUGUGCCUUACUGAGACAUUAUUUUUAUUA